UACGUAGGGGGCUAGCGUUGCUCGGAAUCACUGGGCGUAAAGCGCACGUAGGCGGCCUCGUAAGUCAGGGGUGAAAUCCCGGGGCUCAACCUCGGAACUGCCUUUGAUACUGCGGGUCUUGAGUCCGAUAGAGGUGGGUGGAAUUCCUAGUGUAGAGGUGAAAUUCGUAGAUAUUAGGAAGAACACCGGUGGCGAAGGCGGCCCACUGGAUCGGUACUGACGCUGAGGUGCGAAAGCGUGGGGAGCAAACAGG
This 253-nucleotide ribosomal RNA is filed under the name uncultured bacterium. Its description in RNAcentral is "partial 16S ribosomal RNA". It matches the Rfam family "Bacterial small subunit ribosomal RNA", at positions 524 to 776 of the family's 1533-position model. The record is from RNAcentral.